RNAcentral lists this ribosomal RNA (758 nucleotides) under Bacteroides fragilis. Its description in RNAcentral is "bacterial SSU rRNA". It matches the Rfam family "Bacterial small subunit ribosomal RNA", at positions 28 to 776 of the family's 1533-position model. Lineage: Bacteria; Pseudomonadati; Bacteroidota; Bacteroidia; Bacteroidales; Bacteroidaceae. The record is from RNAcentral.
GAUGAACGCUAGCUACAGGCUUAACACAUGCAAGUCGAGGGGCAUCAGGAAGAAAGCUUGCUUUCUUUGCUGGCGACCGGCGCACGGGUGAGUAACACGUAUCCAACCUGCCCUUUACUCGGGGAUAGCCUUUCGAAAGAAAGAUUAAUACCCGAUGGCAUAAUGAUUCCGCAUGGUUUCAUUAUUAAAGGAUUCCGGUAAAGGAUGGGGAUGCGUUCCAUUAGGUUGUUGGUGAGGUAACGGCUCACCAAGCCUUCGAUGGAUAGGGGUUCUGAGAGGAAGGUCCCCCACAUUGGAACUGAGACACGGUCCAAACUCCUACGGGAGGCAGCAGUGAGGAAUAUUGGUCAAUGGGCGCUAGCCUGAACCAGCCAAGUAGCGUGAAGGAUGAAGGCUCUAUGGGUCGUAAACUUCUUUUAUAUAAGAAUAAAGUGCAGUAUGUAUACUGUUUUGUAUGUAUUAUAUGAAUAAGGAUCGGCUAACUCCGUGCCAGCAGCCGCGGUAAUACGGAGGAUCCGAGCGUUAUCCGGAUUUAUUGGGUUUAAAGGGAGCGUAGGUGGACUGGUAAGUCAGUUGUGAAAGUUUGCGGCCCAACCGUAAAAUUGCAGUUGAUACUGUCAGUCUUGAGUACAGUAGAGGUGGGCGGAAUUCGUGGUGUAGCGGUGAAAUGCUUAGAUAUCACGAAGAACUCCGAUUGCGAAGGCAGCUCACUGGACUGCAACUGACACUGAUGCUCGAAAGUGUGGGUAUCAAACAGG